RNAcentral lists this non-coding RNA (27 nucleotides) under Rattus norvegicus (Norway rat). The record is from RNAcentral. Lineage: Eukaryota; Metazoa; Chordata; Mammalia; Rodentia; Muridae.
UGCUCUUGCAGGAAGCUGCUCGGUCUG